AGAAAACAAGCUCCCUCGUCAGCCGGCCCUGAGUCAGGCUGUUUAAAGAGGGAUUAAUUUAUUCUCCCAGACACGGCGUUUGUUCCAUCGGGGUUUUGUUGGAGCCCGGUGGAAGCUUGGGGUUGUUUUUUUUUUUUUUUGUUCGUGUUUUUUUUUUUUUUUUUUCUGUUGUUGUUUGUCUCUUUGGACGAGGGGGGAGAGAAAAACAAGCAAACACCAAAAAAAAAAAAAAAAUCAAGCGCGAUCUCAUGUUUUGCGUGGCAAAAAAAAUAAAAAUAAACCAUAAAUACGAACAUCGGUGGUUUGUAAUGAAAGCGGGAAGGGAGCGCGCUGCGGGGCGGCGGCGGAGGGAGAAAGUGCAGGAGGGAAGGAGGAGAAGCGGAGCCGCGGGGCCGCUACAGCUCCGACAGGGGACACGGGAACAAAACCUGCAAGACUCGCAGCUGAGCCAGACGAGGGGGAAACGGAGCUGGAACCCGCUUCCCUGUCGGCAGGGCCGGGCCGGGCCGUGCCAGCCCCUCCCGGAGCCCGGCACAUCCCGCAGCCCCGGGCCGAGCAUCCCCGGGGGGAAGGACUCGCAGCAGCUCUGCUUAGAAAGGGCAAGUCGGUGCCAAACCUGACGAACUUUCCUUUGCACAGAAUUAUAACUGGAAGUCUAAAAAGCCGCAGUGUUUGAAAACACGUAUUUACAUUAUAUAUGCCCCAAAGCAGAAUAAACAAAGGUUAGAUUUGUAAA
Onychostruthus taczanowskii (white-rumped snowfinch) is the source of this 736-nucleotide long non-coding RNA. RefSeq lists it as uncharacterized. The record is from RefSeq and is a predicted model, not a curated record. Lineage: Eukaryota; Metazoa; Chordata; Aves; Passeriformes; Passeridae. The transcript has 2 exons.